UAGGGAAUCUUCGGCAAUGGACGGAAGUCUGACCGAGCAACGCCGCGUGAGUGAAGAAGGUUUUCGGAUCGUAAAGCUCUGUUGUAAGAGAAGAACGAGUGUGAGAGUGGAAAGUUCACACUGUGACGGUAUCUUACCAGAAAGGGACGGCUAACUACGUGCCAGCAGCCGCGGUAAUACGUAGGUCCCGAGCGUUGUCCGGAUUUAUUGGGCGUAAAGCGAGCGCAGGCGGUUAGAUAAGUCUGAAGUUAAAGGCUGUGGCUUAACCAUAGUACGCUUUGGAAACUGUUUAACUUGAGUGCAAGAGGGGAGAGUGGAAUUCCAUGUGUAGCGGUGAAAUGCGUAGAUAUAUGGAGGAACACCGGUGGCGAAAGCAGCUCUCUGGCUUGUAACUGACGCUGAGGCUCGAAAGCGUGGGGAGCAAACAGGAUUAGAUACCCUGGUAGUCCACGCCGUAAACGAUGAGUGCUAGGUGUUAGACCCUUUCCGGGGUUUAGUGCCGUAGCUAACGCAUUAAGCACUCCGCCUGGGGAGUACGACCGCAAGGUUG
This 550-nucleotide ribosomal RNA is filed under the name uncultured bacterium. RNAcentral describes it as "bacterial SSU rRNA". It matches the Rfam family "Bacterial small subunit ribosomal RNA", at positions 355 to 896 of the family's 1533-position model. The record is from RNAcentral.